AGAUUGAACGCUGGCGGCAGGCCUAACACAUGCAAGUCGAGCGGCAGCACGGGUACUUGUACCUGGUGGCGAGCGGCGGACGGGUGAGUAAUGCCUAGGAAUCUGCCUGGUAGUGGGGGAUAACGGCUCGGAAACGGACGCUAAUACCGCAUACGUCCUACGGGAGAAAGCAGGGGACCUUCGGGCCUUGCGCUAUCAGAUGAGCCUAGGUCGGAUUAGCUAGUUGGUGAGGUAAUGGCUCACCAAGGCGACGAUCCGUAACUGGUCUGAGAGGAUGAUCAGUCACACUGGAACUGAGACACGGUCCAGACUCCUACGGGAGGCAGCAGUGGGGAAUAGUUGGAACAAGUGGGCGAAAAGCCUGGAUCCAGCCAAUGCCGCGUGCGUGAAGAAGUCUUCGAUUGUAAAGCACUUUAAGUGGGAGGUAAGGCAAGUUACCUAAUACGUAUCUUGUUUGACGUUACCGACAGAAUAAGCUACCGGACUAACUC
RNAcentral lists this ribosomal RNA (491 nucleotides) under uncultured soil bacterium. RNAcentral's name for it is "bacterial SSU rRNA". It matches the Rfam family "Bacterial small subunit ribosomal RNA", at positions 26 to 503 of the family's 1533-position model. The record is from RNAcentral.